Molecule: long non-coding RNA, 237 nt
Filed under: Mytilus galloprovincialis (Mediterranean mussel)
Lineage: Eukaryota; Metazoa; Mollusca; Bivalvia; Mytilida; Mytilidae
Source: RNAcentral
AUAUGAGGCGGCUCGAAAGACAAGUGCUCAGGGUUAAUGCAUCUCUUCUGAUGACACAGAUGAGACACAUCAAAUUCCUCUGAUAGGUCAAAUUUCUCAGUGUGCAACAUGUAUGCAAAUCUGUGACCAUACAAGGUUCUUUUUUUUCUGUCCCAAGGAAACCUAACACUAUACACUGAAUACAGCCUUGUCUGUCCACCCAUUUGACUUAGCAAACACCCGUAAACCCCCAUUUCA